UGCACGUCAUUCAUCAACUGUCACUUUGUAUCGUGAAGAUUAGAAAUAAAUGAUCUGCACCGGACGAGACCGUGAGUCGCUGGCUGGCCUGGUUGCGUUAAAGAAAAUGAGCAAAACAUGGGUUCUGGUGGAAUGGAGGGAGGAGCCUCCCACCUAUGAUAUUGUCCCUAAAAAGGACAUACUAAAAAAAAAGUUUGAACCUGGAGAUGUUGUGGAUGUGGCUUAUGAAGAGGAAAGUUCCCCAGCCACAGUUAUAGAUAUUGAUGAGAGCAAAGAUACCCUCAGGAGGAGGAUGUUUAGGCUAGAGGGGAAAAGAAAAAAUCAGCCAUGUUUGCAAAAUGAUGCAAAAAGAGUAGCAAAGAAAAAAAAAACGUACACUCCAACUCAUUCCCCAUCUCACUCCAAAACGUCCUCAUCAUCUGAUCAAGAGCCUCCAGUCAAACAUCAAGUCAUCCACCGAAAGGACAGUAUGUUAAUGCAAGAGAUUAACAGCAUGGAGAGUCAAGCUGGAGAGCAUUCAAGCCGAGAAACUCAACUUGAGAGAGAAAUUCUCAAAUUAAAAAAAGAAAAUGAGAAUCUAAGAGCACUUAAUAUAGCUCUGCAACAAGAAAUUCUUCCAAUGCUCAAGUGCAGCAUGAACCAGGACACUCUUGUUGCUCAACCAACCACAAGAUUCAAGUCAGAAGAAUCCCCCUGAAAAGACACAGGGGCUAGGAAUUAGUUCAGCCGUCCUGACAAGUUGUGGACGGGGGGGCACAUCAUGUUCUGCCAUGGUGAAAGAUCUGGCAGUGGCAGUGUUUGGGAGAGAGACACUGGCCACACAUGGGCUGUCUGGAAGGGCUGGCAAUGCUAACACAGGCGCUAUGGCAAAGCCAGCUCUUGACCAGGACAAAGUUGUGCUGAUCCUAGACACAGUACAAAAAAAGUUCCCUGAUGUUCCAAAAAAGUUCAUCAGGGCAGCACUAAGAGAAAAGUUAAAUGAUGAGCACAAGUUACGAGUAAGGAAAACAGUGUAGAGGCUUCAUUUGGCUGUGAAUUGGUCUCUGCUUCGCUCUGCUCUUACAGUUUCAAUAAAUACAAUAAAUAAUUUGUGA
This is an RNA transcript of Cyprinus carpio (common carp), 1094 nucleotides long. RefSeq lists it as uncharacterized. Lineage: Eukaryota; Metazoa; Chordata; Actinopteri; Cypriniformes; Cyprinidae. The record is from RefSeq and is a predicted model, not a curated record.